CCUACGGGUGGCAGCAGUGGGGAAUAUUGCACAAUGGGGGAAACCCUGAUGCAGCGACGCCGCGUGAAGGAUGAAGUAUUUCGGUAUGUAAACUUCUAUCAGCAGGGAAGAAAAUGACGGUACCUGACUAAGAAGCCCCGGCUAACUACGUGCCAGCAGCCGCGGUAAUACGUAGGGGGCAAGCGUUAUCCGGAUUUACUGGGUGUAAAGGGAGCGUAGACGGCAUGGCAAGUCUGAUGUGAAAACCCGGGGCUCAACCCCGGGACUGCAUUGGAAACUGUCAGGCUAGAGUGUCGGAGAGGCAAGUGGAAUUCCUAGUGUAGCGGUGAAAUGCGUAGAUAUUAGGAGGAACACCAGUGGCGAAGGCAGCUUACUAAACUGCCACUGACAUUGAUGCUCGAAAGUGUGGGUAUCAAACAGGAUUAGAUACCCUUGUAGUC
RNAcentral lists this ribosomal RNA (440 nucleotides) under uncultured bacterium. Its description in RNAcentral is "partial 16S ribosomal RNA". It matches the Rfam family "Bacterial small subunit ribosomal RNA", at positions 338 to 795 of the family's 1533-position model. The record is from RNAcentral.